CACUUCUAAACCCGUGACGAGAUUUCGUCAGACACCAGACAAUCAGGAUUGAUCAAACUCCCAAGAUAAGUGAAGUU
This is a non-coding RNA of Schistosoma mattheei, 77 nucleotides long. Lineage: Eukaryota; Metazoa; Platyhelminthes; Trematoda; Strigeidida; Schistosomatidae. The record is from Rfam.